This 847-nucleotide ribosomal RNA is filed under the name uncultured bacterium. RNAcentral's name for it is "bacterial SSU rRNA". It matches the Rfam family "Bacterial small subunit ribosomal RNA", at positions 38 to 895 of the family's 1533-position model. The record is from RNAcentral.
GGAGGAUGGCGGCUACCUGCAGUCGAGCGAGAGGAAGUAGCAAUACUUUAGUAAAGCGGCGCACGGGCGAGUAACACGUGGAUAACCUGCCUCGAAGUGGGGAAUAACCCCGGGAAACCGGAGCUAAUACCGCAUAAUCUGACGAGAUCUGUGGAUUUUGUCAGCAAAGGAGCAAUUCGCUUUGAGAGGGGUCCGCGGCUGAUUAGCUAGUUGGUGAGGUAAUGGCUCACCAAGGCCACGAUCAGUAGCCGGUCUGAGAGGACGGUCGGCCACACUGGAACUGAGACACGGCCCAGACUCCUACGGGAGGCAGCAGUGGGGAAUUUUUCGCAAUGGGGGCAACCCUGACGAACCAACGCCGCGUGGGUGAUGAAGUAUUUCGGUACGUAAAACCCUUUCCACGGGGACGAAACCGCAAGGUUGACGGUACCCGUAGAAGAAGCCCCGGCUAACUCCGUGCCAGCAGCCCCGGUAAUACGGGGGGGGCAAGCGUUGUUCGGAAUUACUGGGCGUAAAGGGCGCGCAGGCGGUUCGCUAAGUUGGAUGUGAAAACUCUGGGCUUAACCCAGAGCCUGCAUCCAAAACUGGCAAACUUGAUUACUGGAGGGGAAAGCGGAAUUCCUGGUGUACCGCUGAAAUGCGUAGAUAUCAGGAGGAACACCGGUGGCGAAGGCGGCUUUCUGGACACCAACUGACGCUGAGGCGCGAAAGCUAGGGGAGCCAACAGGAUUAGAUCCCCUGGUACUCCUACCCCUAAACCAUGGAUACUUGGGGUGAGGGGGAUUGAUCCCUUCGUGCCGUACCUAACGCAAUAAGUAUCCCGCCUGGGGAGUACGGUCGCAAGGCU